This is a long non-coding RNA of Myxocyprinus asiaticus (Chinese sucker), 2128 nucleotides long. RefSeq lists it as uncharacterized. Lineage: Eukaryota; Metazoa; Chordata; Actinopteri; Cypriniformes; Catostomidae. The transcript has 2 exons. The record is from RefSeq and is a predicted model, not a curated record.
CUCAAAAUCAAUUUCAAAUGUUCAACACACAUGAUGCAAUGAAGGGUGACAGAAAAGAAAAGUAGAUAUAGCAGUCAGUCGUUUGCAAGCUUAGAGCCUUUUACUCAUGCCUGCCAGACUCCACAUUUGUAAUAGUCUGGUCUUGGUUUUCCAGCUUCUAACACUGUGGUGUGUACAUUGUAAGAGAGUGCAUGAUUCCACUCCGUAACUCCAGAUCGCGAUUUCCCAGAACUCUGACUAACACUGUACACACUCCAUUUUCACAACAACCAGCUGCAGAGAGAUCGGAUAUUUCUUGUUCAUUGUGCUGUCCUUAGAAUUACUAGGGCAGAACUAACCCACCAACGGAAUACAUUUUGUGUCGCGAGAAACAAUAAAAUGCUACUGGAGGAGUCUGCUAAAGGAGCUCAGUCACAACUCUUAUGGCCGCCGUCUUUUUCUGCUCUCAUAUCAUCAAAAAUAAAGGACCACAUUGAGGACACGAGGCAGGCAAAUGGGAACCCUUGCAAUGGCAACAAAAGAAUGAUGGAGCUUUGGAUCCAUUUUGAGGUAUCUGAGCAGGAUCAGGGUUAUUUGACGGAGUAGAAGCAGGAUUAUUCACUCUGGGAUUCCGGUAUGGCCGGUUCCUUUGCUCAUAGAGAAUUUGAUUUUCUCUGUCCUUUUCCAACUGUUGUCCCAGACGUACUAGACCAUCCACAGUUGUUACUCCGAAGCUGGCUAGCCAACUGAGGAAUAAUUUUCUAUAGAAUCAGCUUAAUAACCUCAUCUUCCACAUCUCGGGUUUUCAGCGCUUAUAAAAAGCUUGGUACAUAUAGGCGAAAUCGCGUAUGCUUUCUCCCUCCUGCUGGACACAAGUUCUGACUCUCUCUGCGAUUUCAUCCUCAUAAUCCUCUGAUAAGAAAGCAGCUAGAAAUUGGUGCUCAAACUCCUGCCAAGAAGUGGUCUCAAAACAAGCGACAUCCCACCUGUCUCUUGCAGUUCCAUGAAGUGCAUUUCUAAUGGUAGCUAUCAACUCAUCAUCAGAAAGAGGAUAGACAGCCAAGAAAUCUUUACAUUUUUCAAGAAAGAGCAAGGGAUCUGGACUAUCUUCUAUUCAUCCAAAACAGGAAAAUUUAAUUUAAUUGGAUUUUUUUCCUAAAUACCAUCCCCCAAGUUCACCAGGGAUGAAGGAGUCACUAGGGGAGAGGAUCUCUUCUUCAAGCAUUCCAGAUUGUACUGUAGAAUGCAGAUGUUGCAACUGUGAAGACACCCCUGGUGUUUCCACUGCGUUGAGAGGGGAGGUGACAGUUUGAACUGAGACACUUGUCAUAGCUGUCCUCUGUAAAGGCUUGACAUUUUCCAGAUCCAAAGCCAGUUGAUCUAGAUGUUGAGUGCACUGACUGAGUUCAGCCUGUAGAGGGCUUUUAGAGCCUGUCUUCAAUACUAAGGUGUCACCUGCUGUGAACACUUGGUAAGUCCAGUUUGAAUAAGUUCCAGGGAAGCAGCCAUGGGAGCCAACACACUAACAAUAUCUUUAAGAACUUGUGUGAUGAUGUUUUAAAUGCCAGUUCAGAAGGUGGUUGUGUUCCUUUCGAAUGUAAUCACACUGUUGCUAUAUAAGUUGUUUCAGUUCAGUGACUUGAUGUACAGAAAUGUGAGUCACAUGUUGGGUUAAGGACUGAACAGCCUUUUUAAAUUCUCCUGAUUGAUCUGUAAUCAUGUCCAUAAUGCUUUGAUUUUGCGUUUUCAUUAUAGCAAAUAAUUGAUGAGGAGUGAGAUUUGCCACAGUCUCGGAUGCAUUCUCCAAUGAAGGUUGGGGAGAAGGUUGCAUUGGCUGUAUCAGGUCUAUAUCUCCUGUUAACUCCAUAUCCAACAAAGAAUGGUGUGUUGCAAGAGUGGUUGCUGUAGAAUUUGGUCCAUCUGCAUUGGCAGUAUGAUGGACUCCAUCCUGAGUAGAUGCCACACUAUGUUCCGCCUGAGUGGCUGCCAUAUUGGGUUUUGGUUGUUUCUCCUGAGUGACUGCCAUGUUGGAGGUUGGUUGAUUUAGCACAUCAAACAAUUCAGUGUGUGUCUCCAUGAGAAGCCAUUUUGUUUUGAGAUUAAUUGUUUGAUUCUUCUUGUGAAUAAAAUGUGAUCCUCUUUUAUUCUG